This 1240-nucleotide long non-coding RNA is filed under the name Triticum aestivum (bread wheat). Its description in RNAcentral is "long non-coding RNA (TAES_LNC002950)". Lineage: Eukaryota; Viridiplantae; Streptophyta; Magnoliopsida; Poales; Poaceae. The record is from RNAcentral.
CCCUUCGUCCCGCACCAGAUCCCUCGCUCCCUCCCGCAUCCCCUCGCGCGACGCCUCUCGUUCCCCACCGCGCCGCCCAUCCAAGCGCCGCGCCGCCGGCCCAGGCGCCGCGCUGCCCGCCCAAGCCGCGAUCUCUUCCGGAUGGCGUUCGCCCUCCUCCGGUCGCCGCUCGCCCUCCCCGUCCGAACCUCGCCCGGCUCCCGGUCGUCUCUCUCUCUCUCUUGUGCGCGGAGGCGGCGCAUCAACCAGGGAUCCAACGAGAGGUGAGUCCUUCCGUUCCUUCUGUACUCGUGCUCUCCCUCCUCCUACGCGUCCGUCUGUGCAGCAAGUCAGCAAGAGUAGUCCAUAGCUAGAUUUGUUGGCGGAACUUCUGAUUAGUUAGCGUGAGCAAUGGCGUGGCUGGAUCCUUCUGUUUAGUUAGCUAGUGAGUUGCAGAUGUUCAGCCCCCUCUCUUGUUGCAGAUGUUUGUGCAAAUUUAGAGCAUUAAGAAACAAAGAGUUGAUCUAUAAAUAAUUUGAUAUGCACUAGCUGUGAUUUGAGCAUUAAGAAACAAAGAGCUGUGAUUUGUAAAUACUUAUAAAGAGCUGAUCUAUAAAUAAUUAUAAAGAGCUGAUCUAUGAAUACUUAUAAAGAGUUGCAGAUGUUCAGGAUCUAUAUUGAGAAACAACUCAAUACUUAUAAAGAGCUGAUCUAUGAAUACUUAUAAAAAGCUGCAGAUGUUCAGGAACUUACACAAAAUAUUAUUUAAUCAACUCAAUACUUCAUCAUUAAAUUAUAUUUUGGUACAAUUUCAUUUUUGUUAUGCAUUAGCUGUUAUAAAUAAUCAAAGUUAGAAAUGUAUCUCAUAAGUUAACAUGGACAAGAUUACUUAUUCCGGAGAAGAGCAUAACUGCAUGUGCGGUGUUGAGUUCGGCUUGCUUGUAGCACUUUCUGGAUGCGCUACUGAUUCUUCUCUUCUGGUACAGGUAGUAUAGCUUGGAGCAGAGCACCAACGAUGGACGGAGACGGCUUCGAUGUGUGGGGUUCGCAGCCGUCGGCAAGCGGCCCCGCUCCCCAUGAAAAUAAAAUUUAUCAUGUUUUGGACCGUUCAUUUGUAAAGAUCAUUUGUUAUGUCAAUUGUGAGUGGGAGGAGGCCACAUAAAAGUCGGCCACACCAAAAAUCCCGCAGGAAAUAGGGUCCAAAGUAGCCAAAUAAUUGAGAAAGAAUAUUUAUUGUCAAUCUAACCCUGCCAUCCAAACA